Molecule: ribosomal RNA, 565 nt
Filed under: uncultured bacterium
Lineage: Bacteria
Description: bacterial SSU rRNA
Rfam family: Bacterial small subunit ribosomal RNA
Source: RNAcentral
GGGGCCCGCACAAGCGGUGGAGCAUGUGGUUUAAUUCGAUGCAACGCGAAGAACCUUACCAUCCCUUGACAUCCAGUGAAUUUUCCAGAGAUGGAUUAGUGCCUUCGGGAACACUGAGACAGGUGCUGCAUGGCUGUCGUCAGCUCGUGUUGUGAGAUGUUGGGUUAAGUCCCGCAACGAGCGCAACCCUUAUCCUUAGUUGCCAGCACGUAAUGGUGGGAACUCUGGGGAGACUGCCGGUGAUAAACCGGAGGAAGGUGGGGACGACGUCAAGUCAUCAUGGCCCUUACGGGAUGGGCUACACACGUGCUACAAUGGCGCAUACAAAGGGCAGCAAGCCAGCGAUGGUUAGCGAAUCUCAUAAAGUGCGUCGUAGUCCGGAUUGGAGUCUGCAACUCGACUCCAUGAAGUCGGAAUCGCUAGUAAUCGUGGAUCAGAAUGCCACGGUGAAUACGUUCCCGGGCCUUGUACACACCGCCCGUCACACCAUGGGAGUGGGCUGCACCAGAAGUGGUUAGUUUAACCUUCGGGAGAACGAUCACCACGGUGUGGUUCAUGACUGGGG